ACAAAAGCAAAUAAAAUUGCUGACGGAAUUCCAACUAAAUAAUAAGAUCCAAGAUUAAUAAAUGCACCAAUCUUCUGCCACCCACAUCCUCUUGCAAUGCCUGAAAGAACGCAUUGGAGUCCAUCUAAGAAGUUGGAUAUUGCAACAAUAGGCAUCAUCGUUGCCACAUAUUUGACCACCUGUAUUUCAUUACUAUAAGCAUAACCCCAAAUUCUGCGUAUGGCUAUCAAGAUUGAUCCAACCAAAAUGCCUUCUAUAAUGGCCAUUAAGACG
This 273-nucleotide unclassified non-coding RNA is filed under the name Hevea brasiliensis (rubber tree). Lineage: Eukaryota; Viridiplantae; Streptophyta; Magnoliopsida; Malpighiales; Euphorbiaceae. The record is from RNAcentral.